Molecule: ribosomal RNA, 916 nt
Filed under: uncultured bacterium
Lineage: Bacteria
Description: bacterial SSU rRNA
Rfam family: Bacterial small subunit ribosomal RNA
Source: RNAcentral
AGAGUUUGAUCCUGGCUCAGAUUGAACGCUGGCGGAAUGCUUUACACAUGCAAGUCGAACGGCAGCACGGGAGCUUGCUCCUGGUGGCGAGUGGCGAACGGGUGAGUAAUGCGUCGGAACGUACCGAGUAAUGGGGGAUAACGCACCGAAAGGUGUGCUAAUACCGCAUACGCCCCGAGGGGGAAAGCAGGGGAUCGCAAGACCUUGCGUUAUUCGAGCGGCCGACGUCUGAUUAGCUAGUUGGUGGGGUAAAGGCCUACCAAGGCGACGAUCAGUAGCGGGUCUGAGAGGAUGAUCCGCCACACUGGGACUGAGACACGGCCCAGACUCCUACGGGAGGCAGCAGUGGGGAAUUUUGGACAAUGGGGGAAACCCUGAUCCAGCCAUUCCGCGUGAGUGAAGAAGGCCUUCGGGUUGUAAAGCUCUUUCAGCUGGAACGAAACGGUACGCUCUAACAUAGCGUGCUAAUGACGGUACCAGCAGAAGAAGCACCGGCUAACUACGUGCCAGCAGCCGCGGUAAUACGUAGGGUGCGAGCGUUAAUCGGAAUUACUGGGCGUAAAGCGUGCGCAGGCGGAUUGUUAAGCAAGAUGUGAAAUCCCCGGGCUUAACCUGGGAAUGGCAUUUUGAACUGGCAGUCUAGAGUGUGUCAGAGGGGGGUGGAAUUCCACGUGUAGCAGUGAAAUGCGUAGAUAUGUGGAGGAACACCAAUGGCGAAGGCAGCCCCCUGGGAUAACACUGACGCUCAUGUACGAAAGCGUGGGUAGCAAACAGGAUUAGAUACCCUGGUAGUCCACGCCCUAAACGAUGUCAACUGGUUGUUGGGGGAGUGAAAUCCCUUAGUAACGAAGCUAACGCGUGAAGUUGACCGCCUGGGGAGUACGGUCGCAAGAUUAAAACUCAAAUGAAUUGACGG